GGAAGUCGGUAAUUGAUCAUAUACGAAUAUAUUUUGUAAUGAGAAAUCCUCUAACGUUGCUUCCUUCACCGAGCUACUCAGCGGUGGAGGAGGAGGAAUCAACUGUUUCAACGGCCGCGAUCAAAGGCCGGUUAACGAAAAAAAUACAAAUUUCUUUCUCAAAUUUCCAACGGAUUACUUUAGCAGAGGUCUCUCAGCCCCACAGGCGACGGCUUCGCCAUCGCCGCUUCUGUUCAGCGCGGCGGCAGAGCUGCAGCCUCCGUUCUCAUUCGCCUCCGACCAAUCAGUUUCAGCAGUAAAUGUUGCGAAUUCGUCCGCCAUUAAUAAGGGGACCCUUCAGUCCAAUUCUUCAUCGCCGCCACACUUUCCUGCAAACUUCUUCGACGGCGGCGGCGGAAACCACCGCCAUUUCUUCCUCGGAUUCUUCCCCGGAGAGGUCCCAGAGGCGGAUCUGCAGCUGCCGUGUGUGGUGAUGAUGA
This 479-nucleotide long non-coding RNA is filed under the name Salvia miltiorrhiza (redroot sage). Its description in RNAcentral is "long non-coding RNA (SMIL_LNC008601)". Lineage: Eukaryota; Viridiplantae; Streptophyta; Magnoliopsida; Lamiales; Lamiaceae. The record is from RNAcentral.